GAAAGUGAUGUUCUUGUCUAAGUAAUUAUGUAACGCCUGUUGACAUAUUUAGAAUAAAUAAUUUGUAUGAGCCCUGUACAUAUUUCAUUUCGCUGGUUUGAAAUCAUAAGAAUCCCGAUCAGGUUCGGAAAUUAUAAAUAAGUGGGUAGGUAUCUAUAUCUCUAUAAUAAAAGUUUAUACAACAUUGGUAUGCGAGUUUUCCACCAAAAAUGAUUACAUGAAUGUAAUGUGUUAAUAACAAUUCACUGUAUGGAAUGUAAAUGAAAGCGAUUGGUGUAAACAAUUUAAUGAGUAUUGCUUACUACUGUUGAGAAUGGACACUUACGUCAAGGUUCACUCAAAUCACCUAUAAAUGGGAAACGAAGGGUAAAAGUUCAAACUACCUUAAACUGCAGUUUAAGUUAAGGUUCGUGCGGGUACCGUAUUGGACAUCUUGAGACAAAAUAUGCGUUGGCUACAUCUAAUUGUUACAAUUGUCAUUGCGAGUGCACUCCUCCUUGUAGCUGAGACACGAAGCGUUGGAGGAAUCUCUGAAAAUGAAGACAUUCAAAUUGUAGACAAUCCACCAUUAAGACGUUACAGGAGAAGCCCAAAAAAACAUAAACAUGGUCACGGACAUCACGUAGUCAUUUUGCAUCACCAUCACCACCACGGCCAUGGCCACCAUUAUUAUCAUCACGGAUAAAUGUUAUCGACUCUUUUAAUUAAAUAUAUACAUUGAAAAUUUCUUAUAAAUAAAUAUCAGUAAUCUCCA
Molecule: long non-coding RNA, 754 nt
Organism: Photinus pyralis (common eastern firefly)
Lineage: Eukaryota; Metazoa; Arthropoda; Insecta; Coleoptera; Lampyridae
Exons: 2
Source: RefSeq, a predicted model, not a curated record